UCAAACUUGGUCAUUUAGAGGAAGUAAAAGUCGUAACAAGGUUUCCGUAGGUGAACCUGCGGAAGGAUCAUUAAAAAAAAAAAUAGCUUAUGCUAUAUUUUAUCUACCUUGUGUGCAAACAAUGGAAAGAGAAAAUGGAAUUUAAGAACACCUUUUUUUCUUGGAAAAAGAAAAGUGUUUCCAAAUUCUCUAUAUUCUUUUAUAAACACAAUCAAACUUGAAUGAAAAAAUAAAUUUUAAAUAAAAUAUUUAUACAACUUUCAACAACGGAUCUCUUGGCUCUCGCAUCGAUGAAGAACGCAGC
This 304-nucleotide unclassified non-coding RNA is filed under the name uncultured fungus. RNAcentral describes it as "partial contains small subunit ribosomal RNA, internal transcribed spacer 1, and 5.8S ribosomal RNA". The stretch from base 1 to 73 matches the Rfam family "Eukaryotic small subunit ribosomal RNA", at positions 1759 to 1831 of the family's 1831-position model. The record is from RNAcentral. Lineage: Eukaryota; Fungi.